RNAcentral lists this ribosomal RNA (207 nucleotides) under uncultured bacterium. RNAcentral's name for it is "partial 16S ribosomal RNA". It matches the Rfam family "Bacterial small subunit ribosomal RNA", at positions 568 to 774 of the family's 1533-position model. The record is from RNAcentral.
CGCGUAGGCGGUCUUGUAAGUCAGGUGUGAAAGCCCGGGGCUUAACCCCGGAAGUGCACUUGAAACUAUAAGACUUGAAUAUGGGAGAGGGAAGUGGAAUUCCUGGUGUAGCGGUGAAAUGCGUAGAUAUCAGGAGGAACACCGGUGGCGAAGGCGACUUCCUGGACCAAUACUGACGCUGAGGCGCGAAGGCGUGGGGAGCAAACA